AUUGAACGCUGGCGGCAUGCUUUACACAUGCAAGUCGAACGGUAACAGGCCUUCGGGUGCUGACGAGUGGCGAACGGGUGAGUAAUGCAUCGGAACGUACCCAGAGGUGGGGGAUAACGCAGCGAAAGCUGUGCUAAUACCGCAUGUGAUCUGAGGAUGAAAGCGGGGGACCGAGCAGCAAUGUUUGGCCUCGCGCCUUUGGAGCGGCCGAUGUCGGAUUAGCUAGUUGGUGGGGUAAAGGCCUACCAAGGCGACGAUCCGUAGCUGGUCUGAGAGGACGACCAGCCACACUGGGACUGAGACACGGCCCAGACUCCUACGGGAGGCAGCAGUGGGGAAUUUUGGACAAUGGGCGCAAGCCUGAUCCAGCAAUGCCGCGAGCGGGAAGAAGGCCUUCGGGUUGUAAACCGCUUUUGGCAGGAACGAAACGGUGUCCGCUAAUACCGGGCGCUAAUGACGGUACCUGCAGAAUAAGCACCGGCUAACUACGUG
This 492-nucleotide ribosomal RNA is filed under the name uncultured bacterium. Its description in RNAcentral is "partial 16S ribosomal RNA". It matches the Rfam family "Bacterial small subunit ribosomal RNA", at positions 29 to 507 of the family's 1533-position model. The record is from RNAcentral.